GUCUAUGGUCAUACCACACUGAAUGUGCCCAAUCUCUUCUGAUCUCAGAAGGUGAGCAGGGUUAGGUCUGGUUAGUACUUGGAUGGGAGAUCUGUAUUUAUUUUAUUAGAAAUUUAAACC
RNAcentral lists this ribosomal RNA (120 nucleotides) under Microcebus murinus (gray mouse lemur). Lineage: Eukaryota; Metazoa; Chordata; Mammalia; Primates; Cheirogaleidae. The record is from RNAcentral.